This 253-nucleotide ribosomal RNA is filed under the name uncultured bacterium. RNAcentral's name for it is "partial 16S ribosomal RNA". It matches the Rfam family "Bacterial small subunit ribosomal RNA", at positions 524 to 776 of the family's 1533-position model. The record is from RNAcentral.
UACGUGGGGUGCAAGCGUUAAUCGGAAUUACUGGGCGUAAAGCGUGCGCAGGCGGUUAUGCAAGACAGAUGUGAAAUCCCCGGGCUUAACCUGGGAACCGCAUUUGUGACUGCAUAGCUGGAGUACGGCAGAGGGGGAUGGAAUUCCGCGUGUAGCAGUGAAAUGCGUAGAUAUGCGGAGGAACACCGAUGGCGAAGGCAAUCCCCUGGGCCUGCACUGACGCUCAUGCACGAAAGCGUGGGGAGCAAACAGG